This 250-nucleotide ribosomal RNA is filed under the name uncultured bacterium. Its description in RNAcentral is "partial 16S ribosomal RNA". It matches the Rfam family "Bacterial small subunit ribosomal RNA", at positions 524 to 773 of the family's 1533-position model. The record is from RNAcentral.
UACAGAGGGUGCAAACGUUGCUCGGAAUGAUUGGGCGUAAAGCGCGUGCAGGCGGUUGAUUAUGCCGGUUGUGAAAGCCCGUGGCUCAACCACGGAAGUGCAGUCGGAACUGAUCGACUAGAGUGCCGAAGAGGGUGGCGGAAUGCCCAGUGUAGAGGUGAAAUUCGUAGAUAUUGGGUAGAACACCGGUGGCGAAGGCGGCCACCUGGGAGGUCACUGACGCUGAGACGCGAAAGCGUGGGGAGCAAAC